Long non-coding RNA from Salarias fasciatus (jewelled blenny), 690 nucleotides. RefSeq lists it as uncharacterized. Lineage: Eukaryota; Metazoa; Chordata; Actinopteri; Blenniiformes; Blenniidae. The record is from RefSeq and is a predicted model, not a curated record. The transcript has 3 exons.
UGUGUGUGUGUUACUAAUUCGCAGUGCUGUGUGGGAGGGAGUGCGUCUGUGUAGACGGUGUGAGGGAGUGCGAGUGCGUCCACCUUUGGCGUCCAGGAAUGUUUUUGUGGCGCUGAGGGAGGAAAGUGAGAGAAGAUAUCGGCACACGGCCCGACACACAGUACCAAUAUGAGAUGCUGCACGGCGCACACUCCCCCGCUAAACCGGCGGAGAGUCAUUGCUAAUGAUACCGGGGUGUGCCACGUAACGCACGCAGGGGGAUUUCGAGCAGGAGACGGGCCAGAGUGGAAUAUUCUCAGCCCGUCUUAUCGCAGACGCAACACAAAGAGCGUCCGCGAAUCAGACGGGAGCCGCUGCCUUCCUCUUCCUCCUCCUCCUCUUAACUCAGAUGUGAGGACAUGCAGCAGGUCCCAUCUGGACUCCAUCACCAGGGGCAGGAGCUGGCACCGGAUCAAGUCGGCCUUUAAUCUCCGGCCUUAAAGAUCUUCCUCACUUUCGAGACGGACUCCCACAUCGUUAAACGCCCACGCGGUUUUGUAGGCCUUCCUGUGUCAGCACCCCUACAGCUGAGCCGCGUCUCGACUCGCAGCGCACGUAGUCCGACCCUUCGUCGUCCGGCUCGGUUCAGACUAUGGAGUCCCAGUCGAAGUCGUCCUGGAUGUCGUCGGCGGCGAGCAUGCGUCUCACCUG